Small nucleolar RNA from Mercurialis annua (annual mercury), 120 nucleotides. NCBI's taxonomy places the organism in Eukaryota, Viridiplantae, Streptophyta, Magnoliopsida, Malpighiales, Euphorbiaceae. The record is from RefSeq and is a predicted model, not a curated record.
GAGCAAGAGUGUCGAAAAUGGCACAACUUGCAUUGAAGGUUGGCGAUAUCAUUAGCAAUUUCUCCGUGCCCAUUGAAUUUAAUUUAAUUUUGAUUGAGGCCUCGAACAAAUUGCUACAUU